This 460-nucleotide ribosomal RNA is filed under the name uncultured bacterium. Its description in RNAcentral is "partial 16S ribosomal RNA". It matches the Rfam family "Bacterial small subunit ribosomal RNA", at positions 338 to 795 of the family's 1533-position model. The record is from RNAcentral.
CCUACGGGUGGCAGCAGUGAGGACUAUUGGUCAAUGGACGAGAGUCUGAACCAGCCAAGUAGCGUGAAUGAUGACUGCCCUAUGGGUUGUAAACUUCUUUUAUAUGGGAAUAAAACGUUCCACGUGUGGGAUUUUGUAUGUACCAUAUGAAUAAGGAUCGGCUAACUCCGUGCCAGCAGCCGCGGUAAUACGGAGGAUCCGAGCGUUAUCCGGAUUUAUUGGGUUUAAAGGGAGCGUAGGUGGAUUGUUAAGUCAGUUGUGAAAGUUUGCGGCUCAACCGUAAAAUUGCAGUUGAAACUGGCAGUCUUGAGUACAGUAGAGGUGGGCGGAAUUCGUGGUGUAGCGGUGAAAUGCUUAGAUAUCACGAAGAACUCCGAUUGCGAAGGCAGUUCACUGGACUGCAACUGACACUGAGGCUCGAAAGUGUGGGUAUCAAACAGGAUUAGAUACCCUGGUAGUC